GAGCAGUAUAGUGUGGAUAGGAGAGGACAGGUUUAUCAAUGCCAGGUCUCAUCCAGCUCCUGUUCACCGCUACCUAUAGACGUUCCCUCAUAUGGAGUGAAUAUGUCCCUUGGCCUGUCGAUGAGCAAGACUGAGACGUCCCCAAAGACAGUGGUUUGUGGUCCGACUAUCCCUAAAGAGUGUGACAGCAUCAAUCUCU
Molecule: long non-coding RNA, 199 nt
Organism: Clupea harengus (Atlantic herring)
Lineage: Eukaryota; Metazoa; Chordata; Actinopteri; Clupeiformes; Clupeidae
Exons: 3
Source: RefSeq, a predicted model, not a curated record